RNAcentral lists this ribosomal RNA (854 nucleotides) under uncultured bacterium. Its description in RNAcentral is "bacterial SSU rRNA". It matches the Rfam family "Bacterial small subunit ribosomal RNA", at positions 52 to 904 of the family's 1533-position model. The record is from RNAcentral.
GGCNUGCAGUCGCGCGACAAGCCUCUUUUAGCUUGCUAUUUGAGGUGGAGGAGCGGCGUAAGGGAGAGUAACGGGUGGAUUAUCUGCCCUCAGGUCUGGGAUAGCCACGGGAAACUGUGGGUAAUACCGGAUAAUAUCUGCGGAUCAAAGGUGUGAUUCCGCCUGGGGAUAAGUCCGCCUCCUAUUAGCUUGUUGGUGGGGUAACGGCCUACCAAGGCUACGAUGGGUACCGGGUGUGAGAGCAUGGCCCGGCUCACUGGGACUGAGACACUGCCCAGACACCUACGGGUGGCUGCAGUCGAGAAUCUUCGGCAAUGGGCGCAAGCCUGACCGAGCGAUGCCGCGUGCGGGAUGAAGGCCUUCGGGUUGUAAACCGCUGUCAGUAGGGAGGAAAUGCUAUGGGGUACUCUCCAUAGUUUGACCUAUCUUCAGAGGAAGGACGGGCUAAGUUCGUGCCAGCAGCCGCGGUAAGACGAACCGUCCAAACGUUAUUCGGAAUCACUGGGCUUAAAGGGUGCGUAGGCGGCGCGGUCAGUCGGAUGUGAAAUCGUACAGCUCAACUGUACAACUGCGUCCGAAACUACCGUGCUCAAGGAAGGCAGANGUGAGCGGAACUCAGGGUGGAGCGGUGAAAUGCGUUGAUAUCCUGGGGAACACCGGUGGCGAANGCGGCUCACUGGGCCUUUUUCUGACGCUGAGGCACGAAAGCUAGGGUAGCGAACAGGAUUAGAUACCCUGGUAGUCCUAGCUGUAAACNAUGANCACUAGAUCGAGGANACUCCCAUAUCUUCUUGGUUGUAGCGAAAGUGUUAAGUGCUCCGNCUGGGGAGUAUGGUCGCANGGCUGAAACUCAA